GGUGCGUCACUUGAGUGGGUUGAGUCACUGAUGUGAUCUUGCUGUCUGGGUCGGUGCCGUGGCGAAGAUCUUUGUGGGCUAUACUCGGCCUUGCCUCAGGAUGGACCUGGGCCCUAGGACCAUGCCUCAGGACGACCUGGCAUGAGGACUCCUUGCUGUCCCUAGUCCAUCUGGCCGUGCUGCUGCUCCAGUUUCAACUGUUCUGCCUGCGGCUAUGGAACCCUGACCUGUUCACCAGACGUGCUACCUGUCCCAGACAUGCUUUUUUAAACUCUCUAGAGACAGCAGGAGUGGUAGAGAUACUCUUAAUGAUCGGCUAUGAAAAGCCAACUGACAUUUACUCCUGAGGUGCUGACUUGCUGCACUCUCGACAACUACUGUGAUUAUUAUUAUUUGACCAUGCUGGUCAUUUAUGAACAUUUGAACAUCUUGGCCAUGUUCUGUUAUUAACUCCACCCGGCACAGCCAGAAGAGGACUGGCCACCCCUCAUAGCCUGGUUCCUCUCUAGGUUUCUUCCUAGGUUUUGGCCUUUCUAGGGAGUUUUUCCUAGCCACCAUGCUUCUACACCUGCAUUGCUUGCUGUUUGGGGUUUUAGGCUGGGUUUCUGUAUUGCACUUUGAGAUAUCAGCUGAUGUACGAAGGGCUAUAUAAAUACAUUGUAUUUUAUUUUAUUUGAAAUUUGAUUAGUACUCGGUACCACUGUUUUGUUCGGUUCACAUUCACUCGUUCACAUUCGCAGUUGUGUCGGUAUUCUAAGCCAAACUGCUAUUUAGUAUUUUUGUAUGCGUGCAUGAAUAACUGGCCUACCACUUUCAGCAUUUAGUUGGCAUUAUUUUGGCAAGAUAGCUGUGUGUAUGGCUGCAUUCACGUACUGUAGGCCGUUUGCAAUACAGUAUCUUGUAGCCUAUAUUCAUUACCAAAACGGCCUUGCUGUAGGGCGCUGUCCAUUGUGCUAAUACAGCGCAGCAAAUUUAGGCUUCAGAUUUCAAAAGCACUUAAUGAUCUCAGAGUCUCAGCGUUUGAACUUUGUUUAUUGCAUGAUUAUAUUAGCCAAAUUCAAUAUAAGUCCAAUGCAAGUACCAUAACAAAAUUUGCCGCCUUUCCGAUUUCAACUGCCUCCUUAGUCAAUUUAUGCUGGCGCCGGGUCUACUCCUGAGGAGUAAGAGAUGUUGUCAUGCACUUUUCACGACUGUGUUGGUGUCUGUGGACCAUGAUAGAUCCUUAGCGAUGUGGAUACCGAAGAACUUGAAGCUCUCGAUCCACUCCCCUAUGGCCCCGUCGAUGUGAAUUGGAUCGUGCUCAGCUCUCCAUUUCCUAUGGUCCACAAUAAGCUCCUUUGUCCUGCUGACGUUGAGGGUUAGUUUGUUGUUCUGGUAUCACACUGCCAGGUCUCUGACCUCCUACCUAUAUGAUGACUCAUCGUUAUUGAUGAUCAGGCCUACCAUGUUGUGUCAUCUGCAAACUUAAUGACGGUGUUGGAAAUGUGUGCUGCCACACAACUCCAAGCAAAAAGGGAGUACAUGAGGGGACUAAGCAAGCACCCCUCAGUGUGACGGAUGUGUUGUUGCCUACACUCACCACCUGGGGGUGACUAAUCAAGAAGUUCAGGAUCCAGUUGCAGGGAGGGUUGUUCAGUCCCAGAGUCCUUAGCUUAGUGAUGAGCUUGGAGGGCACUGUGUUGUUGAAAUUAACAGCAUUCUCACAUACAGUAGGGGUUCCUCUUGUCCAGGUGGGAAAGGGCAGUGUGUAGUGCAAUAGAUAUUGUGCAAUAGAUAUUGCGUAAUCUGUGCAUCGGUUGGGGCGGUUUGUUAGAGUCGGUCGAGAUUGUCUGGGAUUUUGGUGUUGAUAUGAGCCAAGAUCAGCCUUUCAAAGCCUUUCAUGGCUACAGAUGUGAGUGCUAUGGAGCGAUAGUCAUUUAGACAGGUAACGUUAGCGUUCUUGGGCACAGGGACUAUGCUUGUCUGCUUGAAACAUGUAGGUAUUACAGACUGGGUCAGGGAGAGGUUGAAAAUGUCAGUGAAGACACUUGCCAACUGGUUAGCGCAUGCUCAGAGUAUGCGUCCUGGUAAUCCGUCUUACCCUGCGGCCUUGUGAAUGUUCACCUUAAACCGUUUUAGAUCUCUUACUCACAUCGGCUUCGGAGAGUGGGAUCACACAGUGGUCCGGAACAUCGGGUGCUCUCAUGCAUGGUUCAAUGUUGCUUGCCUUGAAGCGAGCAUAGAAGGCAUUUGGCUCGUCUGGUAUGCUCGCAUCACUGGGCAGCUCGUGACUGGGUUUCCGUGAAUGCAUGCAAGCCCUACCACAUCAGACGAGCAUCAGAGACAGCGUAGUAGUAUUAGAUCGUAAUCCUGUAUUGACACUUUGCCUGUUUGAUUGGUCGGCGAAGGGCAUAGCGGGAUUUCUUAUAAACAUUCAAAUUAGUGUCCCACUCCUUGAAAGCAGCAGUUCUUGCCUUUAUCUCAGUGCUGACGUUGUCUGUAAUCCAUGGCUUCUGGUUGGGAUAUGUAUGUACGGUUGCUGUGGGGACGACAUCAUUGAUGCACUUAUUAAUUAAGCCGGUGACUGAUGUGGUAAACUCCUCAAUGCCAUUGGAUGAAUCCCAUAACAUAUUCCAGUCUGCACUAGCAAAAAAAUCCUCUAGCUUAGCAUUCGCUUUAUCUGACCAUUUCCGUAUUAAGCACGUCACUGGUACUUUCUGUUUGAGUUUUUGCUUGUGAGCAGGUAUCAGGAGGAUAGCGUUAUGGUCAGAUUUGCCAAAUAGAGGGUGAGGGAGAGCUUUGUAGGCGUUUCUGUGUGUGGCGUAAAGGUGAUCUAGAGUUUUUUCACCUCUAGAUGCACACAAAAUGAUGUGGAAACAACGUUGAUUCGACCAGUGUGCAUUCAGUGGGUCACAACAAGAUAUAUUACAAAGAAUGGAGGACAAACAGGCCAUGGAUAUCUGGUUCAUACAGUGCUACAAUUAAUUCCCAAAUCAUGUUGUUAAGCCACAAUAAAAUAAACACCGCUUGAAUGCCCCUUUUAGUGAGCAAGUACUUGGCAUGUCCCUGAAACGGUUUGACUAAACAAAAUAACGAUGGAGUGUGUCAGUCUCUAUUUUUGGCCAGGCGAAAGACAGGAGAUAAUGAGGAGAACAGAGGCUGACCCAAACACAAAGAGAGGAGCUGCCAAGCCAAUGCUGUCAACGUUAUCAUAUAUCCUGAUGCUUAGUCACGUUACCUCUAUACAUAUCUACCCCUAACACUCCAGUAUCCCUGCACAUUGUAAACAUGGUUUUGGCACUGAUCCUGGAACUGGCCCUGUAAAUGGCAUACUUACUUUGUCGUCUUCUUCUUAUUUCUAUUUCUUCCAUGUUUUUGUUCUACUUUACUUUAUUUUAAAGUACUAUGAAUAUUGAUUACUGCAUUGUUGGGAAAGAGUUUAGUAGUAGUAGUUAUUUUCUGUAGUAGUAGUAGUUAUUUUCUGUUUAGUGUUUUCUGCACCUGACAGGACUGUUUCGGUUUCGUUUAUUCUCUUUGUUCUUUUGUUAGAGUGUUCAGUUUAAAUGAAAGGCAUGAACACUUACGACGCUGCGCUUUGGUCCGAUUCUUCCUCUACAGAUGACGACCCCCGUUACAGAGCUACCCACCACCAACGGACCAGGCAGCGUGGUAUGGAGGAGCAGAGGGUUCAGGACUCCUGGACAUGGGAGGAGAUAUUGGACGGAAAGGGACCCUGGAGACAGGCUGGGGAAUAUCGCCACCCGAAAAAGGAGCUGGAGGCAGCUAAAGCUGAGAGGCGGCAAUAUGAGGCAAGGCAGCGCAGCAGGCAUGAGAGGCAGACCCAAAUUAUUUUUUGAGGAGUGCACAUGGGGAGAUUGGCGGAGUCAGGCGAUAGACCUGAGCCAAUUCCCUGUGUUUACCAGAAUCAGCGCGGUACUGGUCAGGCACCGUGUUAUGCGGUAAAGCGCACAGUGUCUCCAGUACAUGCUCAUAGCCCGGAGCGCUAUAUGCCAGCCCCCCGCAAGUGCCAUGCGAGAGUGGGCAUCCAGCCAGGGCGGAUUGUGGCAGCUCAGCGCACUUGGUCUCCGGUGCGCCGUUUUGGUCCAGGGUAUCCUGCUCCGGCUCUGCGCACUGAGUCUCCGGUACGCUGGGACUGUUCAGUUCGUCCUAUGCCUGCGCUCCGCCCGUGCCUGGCUAAAGUGGGCAUUGAGCCAAGUGGAGACGUGUGAGUGGUAAGCACCAGAUAUCCAGUGCUCCCCCACAGCCCGGUUCAACCUGUGCCUGCACUCUGGAGGGGCCGGGUUAAAGUUUGCAUUCAGCCUGGAGGAGUGGUGCCAAGGCUGAGCACAGGAGCUCCAGUGCUCCCCCACAGCCCGGUUCAUCCGGUGCCUCCUCUACGCACCAGGCCUCCUGUAGGUCUCCCCAGCCUGCUGGGCCCUGUGGCAACCCCACGCACCAGGCUGUCUCUGCGUCUCCUCCCUCCAGUCCGGAGCCCCCAGCGACGCCCUCCAGUCCGGAGCAUCCAGCGACGCCCUCCAGUCCGGAGCCUCCAGCGACGCCCUCCAGUCCGGAGCCUCCAAUAAGGGUGCCCAGUCCGGGGCCCACAACAAGGGUGCCCAGUCCGGGGCCUGCUACGAGGGUGCCCAGUCCGGGGCCCGCUACGAGGGUGCCCAGUCUGGGGCCCGCUACGAGGGUGCCCAGUCCGGGGCCUGCUACGAGGGUGCCCAGUCCGGGGCCCGCUACGAGGGUGCCCAGUCCGGGGCCCGCUACGAAGGCGCCCAGUCCGGGUCGGCGGCAAGGGUUCCCACUCUAGAGGCGCCACCUAAGUGGGCCAAGCCAGAGGUGGAGCGGGGUCUACGUCCCGCACCAGAGCCGCCACCAUGGAGAAAUGCCCACCCAGACCCUCCCCUAUAGGUGGGGGGGGGGGGGGUACUGUCAUGCCCUGACCGUAGAGAGCUUUUUAUGUCUCUAUUUUGGUUUGGUCAGGGUGUGAUUUGGGUGGGAAUUCUAUGUUCCUUUUUCUAUGUUUUGUAUUUCUUUGUUUUGGCCGGGUAUGGUUCUCAAUCAGGGACAGCUGACUAUCAAUGUCUCUGAUUGGGAACCAUACUUAGGUAGCUUUUUCCCACAUGGUUUUUGUGGGUAGUUAUUUUCUGUUUAGUGUUUUCUGCACCUGACAGGACUGUUUUGGUUUCGUUUAUUCUCUUUGUUCUUUUGUUAGAGUGUUCAGUUUAAAUAAAAAGUCAUGAACACUUA
Long non-coding RNA from Oncorhynchus masou masou (cherry salmon), 5232 nucleotides. RefSeq lists it as uncharacterized. Lineage: Eukaryota; Metazoa; Chordata; Actinopteri; Salmoniformes; Salmonidae. The record is from RefSeq and is a predicted model, not a curated record. The transcript has 2 exons.